GGCUACUAUGCUACGGCUUCUGUGGUGGUUGUUCAGGGCGGCCCCGGUUCGAUUCAGGAUGCACGCCGUACCGGUGCUAUUCCGCUGGUGGUACC
RNAcentral lists this transfer RNA (95 nucleotides) under Rothia aeria. Its description in RNAcentral is "tRNA-Ser(cag)". The record is from RNAcentral. Lineage: Bacteria; Bacillati; Actinomycetota; Actinomycetes; Micrococcales; Micrococcaceae.